RNAcentral lists this ribosomal RNA (409 nucleotides) under uncultured bacterium. Its description in RNAcentral is "bacterial SSU rRNA". It matches the Rfam family "Bacterial small subunit ribosomal RNA", at positions 509 to 916 of the family's 1533-position model. The record is from RNAcentral.
CAGCCGCCGCGGUAAUACAGAGGUCCCAAGCGUUGUUCGGAUUCACUGGGCGUAAAGGGUGCGUAGGUGGUGGGGUAAGUCGGAUGUGAAAGCUCGGAGCUCAACUCCGAAAUGGCAUUGGAAACUACCCUGCUAGAGGAUUGGAGGGGGGACUGGAAUACUUGGUGUAGCAGUGAAAUGCGUAGAUAUCAAGUGGAACACCAGUGGCGAAGGCGAGUCCCUGGACAAUACCUGACACUGAGGCACGAAAGCUAGGGGAGCAAACAGGAUUAGAUACCCUGGUAGUCCUAGCCGUAAACGGUGCACGUUUGCUGUAAAAGGAAUCGACCCCUUUUGUGGCGUAGCUAACGCGUUAAACGUGCCGCCUGGGAAGUACGGUCGCAAGAUUNAAACUNAAAGGAAUUGACGG